UAGGGAAUCUUCGGCAAUGGACGAAAGUCUGACCGAGCAACGCCGCGUGAGUGAAGAAGGUUUUCGGAUCGUAAAACUCUGUUGUUAGAGAAGAACAAGGACGUUAGUAACUGAACGUCCCCUGACGGUAUCUAACCAGAAAGCCACGGCUAACUACGUGCCAGCAGCCGCGGUAAUACGUAGGUGGCAAGCGUUGUCCGGAUUUAUUGGGCGUAAAGCGAGCGCAGGCGGUUUCUUAAGUCUGAUGUGAAAGCCCCCGGCUCAACCGGGGAGGGUCAUUGGAAACUGGGAGACUUGAGUGCAGAAGAGGAGAGUGGAAUUCCAUGUGUAGCGGUGAAAUGCGUAGCUAUAUGGAGGAACACCAGUGGCGAAGGCGGCUCUCUGGUCUGUAACUGACGCUGAGGCUCGAAAGCGUGGGGAGCAAACAAG
This 429-nucleotide ribosomal RNA is filed under the name Gemmatimonadota bacterium. RNAcentral's name for it is "Gemmatimonadetes bacterium partial 16S ribosomal RNA". It matches the Rfam family "Bacterial small subunit ribosomal RNA", at positions 355 to 776 of the family's 1533-position model. The record is from RNAcentral. Lineage: Bacteria; Pseudomonadati; Gemmatimonadota.